GUUUCCUGGUCACCUGAAAUGAUAGGCCAUAUUCUUGGUCUUUGUCCUCUGUUGGUUGCCUUAGAAACUGUGGAAUCUAGCAGUCAUAUUGGCUAAUGGCAGCUCAUGUCCUGCUACUGAUAGAUUGAUAGAGGUGGACAAUUUAAUGAAAGGCGAACUACUGUGAAAUCAGUGAAAAUGCCAUUUCAGGGCUCAUUAAGUGGAAAGAGGAAAGGCUUCAGCAGAAGGUCUACAAUUCAUAGCAAGGAGACUGCAGGAGCUAUAAGAAAAAUCUAACAACUGAAGUACGGUUUCUUUCCACUAUCUUACCUGGUAAUCAUGGUCUACUGGUUCAACCACAGGACGUCCAAUGCGCUUGAGCAUGACGGUGUAGCAGAAGCAAAUAGUGAGAAGAGGCAAUAGAUAAACACCCAGGAAAGUGUAGAGGAUAAAACUGCGCUCCUGGCUCUUGCUUGUGAAAGCUUCAAUGCAGUAGAUUUUGAAACGCGGUACUUCAGCUCACAUUUUGGAGUCAUCAGUGCCUUAAUAUUCCAGAAGAAAGGGACAUCUCAUUAAAGUAUUCUUGCUGAA
This is a long non-coding RNA of Pantherophis guttatus, 570 nucleotides long. RefSeq lists it as uncharacterized. The record is from RefSeq and is a predicted model, not a curated record. Lineage: Eukaryota; Metazoa; Chordata; Lepidosauria; Squamata; Colubridae.